UAAGACGUAGGGGGCGAGCGUUGUCCGGAUUUAUUGGGCGUAAAGAGUUCGUAGGCGGCUCAACAAGUUGGGUGUGAAACCUCCAGGCUUAACCUGGAGACGCCACUCAAGACUGUUGUGGCUAGAGACCGGUAGGGGAGCAGGGAAUAUCCGGUGUAGCGGUGAAAUGCUUAGAUAUCGGGUGGAACACCAGUGGCGAAGGCGCUGCUCUGGGCCGGAACUGACGCUGAGGAACGAAAGCGUGGGUAGCAAACAGGAUUAGAUACCCUGGUAGUCCACGCCGUAAACGUUGGGCACUAGGUGUGGGACCCUAUCGACGGGAUCCGUGCCGUAGCUAACGCAUUAAGUGCCCCGCCUGGGGAGUACGGCCGCAAGGCUA
RNAcentral lists this ribosomal RNA (379 nucleotides) under uncultured bacterium. RNAcentral's name for it is "bacterial SSU rRNA". It matches the Rfam family "Bacterial small subunit ribosomal RNA", at positions 521 to 896 of the family's 1533-position model. The record is from RNAcentral.